UGCCAGCCGCCGCGGUAAUACGAAGGUCCCGAGCGUUGUUCGGAAUCACUGGGCGUAAAGGGAGCGUAGGCGGUUUGGUAAGUCAGAUGUGAAAUCUCAGGGCUCAACCCUGAAACUGCAUCCGAUACUGCCAGACUUGAGUAAUGGAGGGGUAGCUGGAAUUCUCGGUGUAGCAGUGAAAUGCGUGGAUAUCGAGAGGAACACUCGUGGCGAAGGCGAGCUACUGGACAUUUACUGACGCUGAGGCUCGAAGGCUAGGGUAGCGAAAGGGAUUAGAUA
Molecule: ribosomal RNA, 279 nt
Filed under: uncultured bacterium
Lineage: Bacteria
Description: partial 16S ribosomal RNA
Rfam family: Bacterial small subunit ribosomal RNA
Source: RNAcentral